This 433-nucleotide ribosomal RNA is filed under the name uncultured bacterium. RNAcentral describes it as "partial 16S ribosomal RNA". It matches the Rfam family "Bacterial small subunit ribosomal RNA", at positions 29 to 507 of the family's 1533-position model. The record is from RNAcentral.
AACGAACGCUGGCGGCAUGCCUAACACAUGCAAGUCGAACGAGACCUUCGGGUCUAGUGGCGCACGGGUGCGUAACGCGUGGGAACCUGCCCUUAGGUUCGGAAUAACUCCCCGAAAGGGGUGCUAAUACCGGAUAAUGUCUUCGGACCAAAGAUUUAUCGCCUUUGGAUGGGCCCGCGUUGGAUUAGCUAGUUGGUAGGGUAAAAGCCUACCAAGGCGACGAUACAUAGCUGGUCUGAGAGGAUGAUCAGCCACACUGGGACUGAGACCCGGCCCAGACUCCUACGGGAGGCAGCAGUGGGGAAUAUUGGACAAUAGGCGAAAGCCUGAUCCAGCAAUGCCGCGUGAGUGAUGAAGGCCUUAGGGUUGUAAAGCUCUUUUAACCGGGAUGAUAAUGACAGUACCGGGAGAAUAAGCUCCGGCUAACUCCGUG